Molecule: ribosomal RNA, 1346 nt
Filed under: uncultured bacterium
Lineage: Bacteria
Description: partial 16S ribosomal RNA
Rfam family: Bacterial small subunit ribosomal RNA
Source: RNAcentral
GACGAACGCUGGCGGCGUGCUUAACACAUGCAAGUCGAACGGAAAGGCCCUGCUUUUGUGGGGUGCUCGAGUGGCGAACGGGUGAGUAACACGUGAGUAACCUGCCCUUGACUUUGGGAUAACUUCAGGAAACUGGGGCUAAUACCGGAUAGGAGCUCCUGCUGCAUGGUGGGGGUUGGAAAGUUUCGGCGGUUGGGGAUGGACUCGCGGCUUAUCAGCUUGUUGGUGGGGUAGUGGCUUACCAAGGCUUUGACGGGUAGCCGGCCUGAGAGGGUGACCGGCCACAUUGGGACUGAGAUACGGCCCAGACUCCUACGGGAGGCAGCAGUGGGGAAUAUUGCACAAUGGGCGGAAGCCUGAUGCAGCAACGCCGCGUGCGGGAUGACGGCCUUCGGGUUGUAAACCGCUUUCGCCUGUGACGAAGCGUGAGUAACGGUAAUGGGUAAAGAAGCACCGGCUAACUACGUGCUAGCAGCCGCGGUGAUACGUAGGGUGCGAGCGUUGUCCGGAUUUAUUGGGCGUAAAGGGCUCGUAGGUGGUUGAUCGCGUCGGAAGUGUAAUCUUGGGGCUUAACCCUGAGCGUGCUUUCGAUACGGGUUGACUUGAGGAAGGUAGGGGAGAAUGGAAUUCCUGGUAGAGCGGUGGAAUGCGCAGAUAUCAGGAGGAACACCAGUGGCGAAGGCGGUUCUCUGGGCCUUUCCUGACGCUGAGGGGCGAAAGCGUGGGGAGCGAACAGGCUUAGAUACCCUGGUAGUCCACGCUGUAAACGGUGGGUACUAGGUGUGGGGUCCAUUCCACGGGUUCCGUGCCGUAGCUAACGCUUUAAGUACCCCGCCUGGGGAGUACGGCCGCAAGGCUAAAACUCAAAGGAAUUGACGGGGCCCCGCACAAGCGGCGGAGCAUGCGGAUUAAUUCGAUGCAACGCGUAGAACCUUACCUGGGUUUGACAUGGAUCGGGAGUGCUCAGAGAUGGGUGUGCCUCUUUUGGGGUCGGUUCACAGGUGGUGCAUGGCUGUCGUCAGCUCGUGUCGUGAGAUGUUGGGUUAAGUCCCGCAACGAGCGCAACCCUUGUUCACUGUUGCCAGCACGUUAUGGUGGGGACUCAGUGGAGACCGCCGGGGUCAACUCGGAGGAAGGUGGGGAUGACGUCAAGUCAUCAUGCCCCUUAUGUCCAGGGCUUCACGCAUGCUACAAUGGCUGGUACAGAGAGUGGCGAGCCUGUGAGGGUGAGCGAAUCUCGGAAAGCCGGUCUCAGUUCGGAUUGGGGUCUGCAACUCGACCUCAUGAAGUCGGAGUCGCUAGUAAUCGCAGAUCAGCAACGCUGCGGUGAAUACGUUCCCGGGGCU